UACCAUCAUCACCUUGGAUAUUGCAGCACUGUACUAUUAACCCAAUUCCCUCUUGCUGAAUUUCCUUUAGAAUCUCCUGGAAUACAACCUGUUUACAUUGCCUGUUGGGGCUUAGUCCUUCAAACUUGACCCUGUUACCUUGAUAGUUGGGUAAUGCAGUAAUGCUGGUUGGAGCGGUUUCUAAGAGAACUCCUGAAUGCUUGUGAAUCCAGUCCAUUCCUAGGACCUUGGCACAUCCCCCAAGCUUCAGUAGGUAGACAUCAUGCUCAAAAAAACU
Molecule: long non-coding RNA, 277 nt
Organism: Ipomoea nil (Japanese morning glory)
Lineage: Eukaryota; Viridiplantae; Streptophyta; Magnoliopsida; Solanales; Convolvulaceae
Exons: 3
Source: RefSeq, a predicted model, not a curated record